UACGAAGGGGGCUAGCGUUGCUCGGAAUUACUGGGCGUAAAGCGCACGUAGGCGGAUUGUUAAGUCGGGGGUGAAAUCCUGGAGCUCAACUCCAGAACUGCCUUCGAAACUGGCGAUCUUGAGUCCGGGAGAGGUGAGUGGAACUGCGAGUGUAGAGGUGAAAUUCGUAGAUAUUCGCAAGAACACCAGUGGCGAAGGCGGCUCACUGGCCCGAUACUGACGCUGAGGUGCGAAAGCGUGGGGAGCAAACAGGG
Molecule: ribosomal RNA, 254 nt
Filed under: uncultured bacterium
Lineage: Bacteria
Description: partial 16S ribosomal RNA
Rfam family: Bacterial small subunit ribosomal RNA
Source: RNAcentral